Molecule: ribosomal RNA, 464 nt
Filed under: Vreelandella stevensii
Lineage: Bacteria; Pseudomonadati; Pseudomonadota; Gammaproteobacteria; Oceanospirillales; Halomonadaceae
Description: partial 16S ribosomal RNA
Rfam family: Bacterial small subunit ribosomal RNA
Source: RNAcentral
CUACGGGUGGCAGCAGUGGGGAAUAUUGGACAAUGGGCGAAAGCCUGAUCCAGCCAUGCCGCGUGUGUGAAGAAGGCCUUCGGGUUGUAAAGCACUUUCAGUGGGGAAGAAAGCCUUGGGGCUAAUACCCUCGAGGAAGGACAUCACCCACAGAAGAAGCACCGGCUAACUCCGUGCCAGCAGCCGCGGUAAUACGGAGGGUGCGAGCGUUAAUCGGAAUUACUGGGCGUAAAGCGCGCGUAGGCGGUCUGAUAAGCCGGUUGUGAAAGCCCCGGGCUCAACCUGGGAACGGCAUCCGGAACUGUCAGGCUAGAGUGCAGGAGAGGAAGGUAGAAUUCCCGGUGUAGCGGUGAAAUGCGUAGAGAUCGGGAGGAAUACCAGAGGCGAAGGCGGCCUUCUGGACUGACACUGACGCUGAGGUGCGAAAGCGUGGGUAGCAAACAGGAUUAGAUACCCCAGUAGUC